GUGGGGAAUAUUGGACAAUGGGGGCAACCCUGAUCCAGCAAUGCCGCGUGAGUGAUGAAGGCCUUCGGGUUGUAAAGCUCUUUCAGUGGGGAAGAUAAUGACGGUACCCACAGAAGAAGCCCCGGCUAACUUCGUGCCAGCAGCCGCGGUAAUACGAAGGGGGCUAGCGUUGUUCGGAUUUACUGGGCGUAAAGCGCACGUAGGCGGAUUGGUCAGUUAGGGGUGAAAUCCCAGAGCUCAACUCUGGAACUGCCUUUAAUACUGCCAGUCUAGAGUCCGGAAGAGGUAAGUGGAACUCCUAGUGUAGAGGUGGAAUUCGUAGAUAUUAGGAAGAACACCAGUGGCGAAGGCGGCUUACUGGUCCGGUACUGACGCUGAGGUGCGAAAGCGUGGGGAGCAAACAGGAUUAGAUACCCCGGUAGUCC
This 425-nucleotide ribosomal RNA is filed under the name uncultured bacterium. Its description in RNAcentral is "bacterial SSU rRNA". It matches the Rfam family "Bacterial small subunit ribosomal RNA", at positions 354 to 796 of the family's 1533-position model. The record is from RNAcentral.